AAAAAGCAGAACUCCGGUCGACGCUGUUUUGCUCUGUUCUUUUCUUUUUUGCUGAUUGUACUUUAAUAAAAGACACUUUGAGUAAAGAAUCUCAAAGAUUAUUUUUCCUCUCCUCCUCCUCCUGCUGCAAGGUUUCACUCUGAAGAAUGGAAGGUCUCCACAUUAACAGCAGCUCACAGGACCAAAGCUACGAUUACAGCAGCACCACCUUCAACUACCAGAAUAACAAUGAGCACUAUGAGUAUCUCAAAAAACUUCGUCUCAUCCAAUACGUAGUGACAUGCAUAGUCCUUGCUGUCGGCCUUCCUCUGACCCUGGUGGCCAUCUAUUCUCUUUAUUCUAUGAAGCAUGUCUGCUUGAACCAGCAUCCCUCCAACCGCCAGAGCCCACCUUUACUGGAUCA
Long non-coding RNA from Micropterus salmoides (largemouth bass), 403 nucleotides. RefSeq lists it as uncharacterized. The record is from RefSeq and is a predicted model, not a curated record. Lineage: Eukaryota; Metazoa; Chordata; Actinopteri; Centrarchiformes; Centrarchidae. The transcript has 3 exons.